CCUGUGGGCUGCUGCCUGCAGAGAGCCAGCAGGUGCUGCUGGGCUGGGUCUGCCAAGGAGCAGCAAUAGCAGGCAUCUCAGCCAGUCUACUGCAAGCUAGAGCCUAGAGGAAAACCCCUGCUGCGGGGAAUGGGGAGGAAUUCAGAGCCUUGUCUGCAGCCUGGCUGGAGGGGGACGAGAAACCAAUGUGACAAUAAAGGCCACGCAGCCCUCUUGCCUCCCCAAGGAACACCUGCAGCUACUUCUGCUUAGAAGACAGCACCUGCUGCUUCUCUUUGCUGUUGCCACCAGCACCACAUAGAAAUUUCCCAGAAUGCACUGUAGGACUGGCACGAGGAAUAGGAGAAAGCUACUAUGGCCUUUGAAAAGAGUAUUGUUCCAAUGCCUUUUCCAGAGACCUCUCUCAGGCUUGUGGGCAGAGAAAAAAGAUUAUCAAAGUAGGCUAAUCAUGGUGGCUUAUGUGGAUUGGAGAACUUCUCAGCAGAAAUGCUCUUGGACGUUGGAGAAGUGGGGUAGAAGUGAAGAACCUACAGGCACUCUCAUUCCGAAGUCUGGGAGGAGGCUGAGCUGAAGAUGCUCUUGGUGGUGUCCUCCCUGAGCUCUGUGUGUAUGUGUGUAUAAAAGAAGAAGAGCUUAGUAACAGCCUUCCCCACUCCAUGAUCUUGAAAAGGAGCCUAGAAAUAAUAUUGAGGAUAAGA
This is a long non-coding RNA of Mauremys reevesii (Reeves's turtle), 698 nucleotides long. RefSeq lists it as uncharacterized. The record is from RefSeq and is a predicted model, not a curated record. The transcript has 3 exons. NCBI's taxonomy places the organism in Eukaryota, Metazoa, Chordata, Testudines, Geoemydidae.